Cygnus atratus (black swan) is the source of this 1663-nucleotide long non-coding RNA. RefSeq lists it as uncharacterized. The record is from RefSeq and is a predicted model, not a curated record. Lineage: Eukaryota; Metazoa; Chordata; Aves; Anseriformes; Anatidae. The transcript is spliced from 3 exons.
UCAAACGGCGCCAGGCCCAGGCCUCAGCGAGGAGCGGUGGCGGAGGCUGCGCCGGUGGCGGGGCUGGGGGCGAUGCGCGCCACGGGCACCCGCGGGCCUGGAGGGACCCCUGCCCAGGGCCCCGUUACCAGCAGCCGCCGCCCACCUGCCCCAGGAGCCACGGUCGGUUAGGGUCUGGCCGGCACCGGGGUCUGGUGCGGGGCUGGCGGGGCCCGGCCCGUAACGGGCAGCGGUGUGAGGGCACGGCACGGCUGGAAGUUGGAGGAAAGCCUCUGGAUGUUGGCGUUUCCCUUUCCUGCAGCCUCCGGCCCGUCGGCAGGGGAAGGCAGCGAGGCCGCGGGCAGCGCAGGAGCUGCUCCCUGCGAGGUUCGCGUGCUCCGCUGGCAGGGCAGGCCGUGAGCAAACAGAGGCACGGCCGAGCGUUCUGAGGGAACGUCCUCUGGCAGACGUGGUGGUAGCCUGGCAUCAAGAAGAAGAUUGACAGGAGAAGAGGACCGGCACCGUGGAGGUUGUGAGCAGAGAGAUUUCCGUCAGUGUUUUUUUUGCCGGGAGUAAUUUAUUGGUGUGCUGGAGUUGUUCGGAAUGACCAGAAAAUUUCCAGCCAUGGAGGAGGCUGACAUGGGGGGUAUAGCUCAGUGGCAGAGCAUUUGACUGCAGAUCAAGAGGUCCCUGGUUCAACUCCAGGUGCCCCCUCUUUUAAAUGUCUUUUUCAGCCGGCCUUUUGCCCAGGAAAGCUCAGGGCUUCUGCUCUGAGUUGCUCUGCGCUGUUUUUGUGUAAGUUUGGGAUUUUCUGUAGUGACUCCCUGCAGAAAUUACAUCCGUUGCCCUGUCCAGGCUGCUGUCAGGGUGAUGAAUCUGAACCCGCGGUCAGACACUGGGCGUGUGUAACUGCUUUUAAAACCACCUUGCGGAGGGCUUGCUGCAGGGGGUAUAGCUCAGUGGCAGAGCAUUUGACUGCAGAUCAAGAGGUCCCCGGUUCAACUCCGGGUGCCCCCUUGCAAUUGUGCUUUUUUCAGGAAAAAGUACGAGGCGUGUGCCUCACUUUUAGAUCCUGCAUGCUGCUGCAUGGCCAAAGGGCUGCUCUCUGAACCGAACCCAAGACAGAGCGUUAACCUAAAAAUGCACGGCCAAAUUUGCGUGCAUGUCAGUGACGAGGCAAAGGCACGAUGCCAGUUCCUGGGCUGUAGGAGUCGUCGUUUUGAUCAGGCAAGAGACUGCAGUGGUUCUACACUUUGUCUCCUGUAUUGAUUCUCUGAAUACACUUUGGCGUGUACAUUUUAAUGCAAAGGAGUCUGUCAAAUAAAAAACCAAUCCACCCAGUGGACAUAAAAUCUGAGCUGUCUGUAUUUUUUUUUCCUGCACCUUUCUGGUUGCUGAGCCAAGGGGGUAUAGCUCAGUGGCAGAGCAUUUGACUGCAGAUCAAGAGGUCCCUGGUUCAACUCCAGGUGCCCCCUCUUUACCUCCUUUUCCAACCUUUCUUCUUUACAGACAGAAUAGGGAGAGACCUUCUUAUUAUAAAACCCAGAGGUUUUAGAAGUCACUUCAAGUUCUUUUGCCAAACUGUCAUGGUUUCCGCUGGGAGAGAACUAAUUUUCUUGGUUAAGGCUUGUAUGAUGCUGUGUUUUGGAUUUUUGGUUAAAAUAGUGUUGAUAAUACACUGAUG